Molecule: unclassified non-coding RNA, 200 nt
Filed under: Pleosporales sp.
Lineage: Eukaryota; Fungi; Ascomycota; Dothideomycetes; Pleosporales
Description: partial internal transcribed spacer 2
Source: RNAcentral
UUAAGUUCAGCGGGUAUCCCUACCUGAUCCGAGGUCAAGCGUAAAAAUGUAGACUUGUGGAUGCCACCGUCUGCAGUGGAGAGCGCAAAAUGUGCUGCGCUCCCACACGGGACGGCGGGCUGCCAAUGUAUUUGAGGCGAGUUCACGCGUGCAGCGGAACAAACGCCCAACACCAGCAGGGCUGGAGGGUACAAAUGACG